AUAGCCGCGUCGGGAGAGAUCGGCCUUUCAGCUUUCUUGAGCUCGGAGGUCGGCGCCGAAGGAGCAACCGCCCCGGAAACUCUCAGGCAAAAGGACCGCGCGGCUUC
This 107-nucleotide non-coding RNA is filed under the name Bradyrhizobium sp. Its description in RNAcentral is "Glycine sequence". It matches the Rfam family "Glycine riboswitch aptamer". Rfam says of the family: This family represents the bacterial glycine riboswitch. Glycine riboswitches usually consist of two metabolite-binding aptamers domains with similar structures in tandem. RNAcentral also lists the same sequence under 1 other name. The record is from RNAcentral. Lineage: Bacteria; Pseudomonadati; Pseudomonadota; Alphaproteobacteria; Hyphomicrobiales; Nitrobacteraceae.